Molecule: ribosomal RNA, 497 nt
Filed under: uncultured bacterium
Lineage: Bacteria
Description: partial 16S ribosomal RNA
Rfam family: Bacterial small subunit ribosomal RNA
Source: RNAcentral
GAUGAACGCUGGCGGCGUGCCUAAUACAUGCAAGUCGAGCGAACGGACGAGAAGCUUGCUUCUCUGAUGUUAGCGGCGGACGGGUGAGUAACACGUGGAUAACCUACCUAUAAGACUGGGAUAACUUCGGGAAACCGGAGCUAAUACCGGAUAAUCUUUUGAACCGCAUGGUUCAAAAGUGAAAGACGGUCUUGCUGUCACUUAUAGAUGGAUCCGCGCUGCAUUAGCUAGUUGGUAAGGUAACGGCUUACCAAGGCAACGAUGCAUAGCCGACCUGAGAGGGUGAUCGGCCACACUGGAACUGAGACACGGUCCAGACUCCUACGGGAGGCAGCAGUAGGGAAUCUUCCGCAAUGGGCGAAAGCCUGACGGAGCAACGCCGCGUGAGUGAUGAAGGUCUUCGGAUCGUAAAACUCUGUUAUUAGGGAAGAACAUAUGUGUAAGUAACUGUGCACAUCUUGACGGUACCUAAUCAGAAAGCCACGGCUAACUACGUG